UUCAAGACGUUUAGUUACCGAGACGAAUAGAAGUUUACUAUUGCCAAAACUUAUUCUGCACAAUGGUUUAUAUUGAUCCGAUAAAUGUGUUUACUUUAUUAUCCAUAGCUUUUAAUUCUGUGGAUAAAAAAGUGACGCCUGUUAACAGUGCUGAGUUAGAGUUAAAAGACAUUUUAUAUGACAUAAUCGUGCAACGUAUGGAAGAUCCAACAUUCAACAUAGAACAAGAAACAUAUUUAGACAUUGAAGAAGAGUUUGCAAACGGUGAAGAUCCUGAUGUAAAUUUCCAGUGGCUGCAAGAAACGGAAAUGGACCUAACGGAAACGGACCUUACUGAUGAAGAGGAACAAGAUCAACAACUAGAAAAAUGUACGCUCUCCGAAGCACCAACCAGUUAUGAAUACAGAAAAAAUGCUGUGGAAUACUGGAAGAGUGGUAAGACAAAACGUUUGAAAUUAGAAACAGUGCAAUCUAGAUUCAAAAUGGUCAAGUCUAUUCGGCAGUUACGCAGAUGGGCUGCCCAAGUCGAAAUGGGUGGCACACGUUUAGAUAAAUUACUGCGUAUUGCAGAUUAUACAUACAAAAAUGUUAUACAAGCAAUACGGUCAAAUAUAAUAGUACAUGACAUAGAUAUUCGACGGUGGGCGUUACAAGCAAAAUUAGAAGAAGAUUUAGCAUCAUUUACAGCUGGCCGUACAUGGCUGUUAAAAUUUAAAAAAGCAUAUGGCAUAGUAUCGCGAAAAGUUACGAAGUUUGUGACGAGGCCCAGUAUCGAUAAAGAACCAGAACUGAUUUCAAGUUCUCAUAAUUUUCUGGAGCGUGUUAAAUCCUAUACCGAUCGUUACGGAUUUGAGAAUUUGUAUAAUUCGAAUCAAAGUGGUUUCAACCUCGAACUACAUUCUGGACGAACUUUGGCGUUGAAAGGUACGAAGAAAGUAGAAGCUGUAAUACAGUCAAUUCCAUCCACUACUCAUAGCUACACUAUACAACCUACAAUAUCUGCAAGCGGAAAACUGCUAUCUCCUCUCUUCGUCGUGUUAAAGGAAACAUCUGGAGAGUUUGGACCUAGGGUACAGCAGACUAUGUUUAAACCAACGAACAUUUUGGCUACCGCGUCAACAUUUAAAAUUUGGUUAAAAGAAGUUUACUUUCCUAAUACAAACGAGAAGACUGCUUCACUAUUAGAUUCUUGGAGUGGACAUUGUAGUCGUAGUAUUGUAGAAGCUACACCGGAAAAUAAAGAAUUACUAGUAUUUACGAUUCCAGCAGGGACUACAAAAUGUUUACAACCAUUAAACGUGCACGGAUUUCGUGUAUGGAAAAAUUUUGUUCGCCGGUUUUCGGACAGUCAUCCUAUUACAUUAUGAGAUUAAUCUCCACACGAGGGACAAUAUUUUAAAACUUCAGUCGCUGGCUCAUAAUCAAUUUUCUUCCCUACGAUUUGAAAACUUUAUUAAAUAUUCAUGGUAUAAAAGUGGAUGUGUAUCAUCGAGACCACCUCAUUUUGAAAAUCCCGUGGAGUUCUGCUAUGCUGUAGAUAAUGAACCACGAUGGCACGUAUAUGGUGAUGUGAAUAUUAUUACCUGUGCUUGGUGCCGAAAGCCUUUAUGUUUGAAGCAUUUCUUCGAAGAGUAUCAUUUUUGUCACGACUAUGUUCCUUAAGUUAUUCAAAUUCCUUGUUGCAUAUUAAAAUUAUCAAUUUCAUACAUCCACCAUCGAGUAUGUAUAACUUUAAUUAUUUUAUAUCAUGCGAUACAAAUUUAACAAAAUUAACCAUUGUAUGUUAUAAAAAUAGUUGUUUUCCACUUAUGCGAAUAAAUAACAUCGGUGUAUAACGUCAGAUACGAUUAAAGUAUCACGCGCUGACUCAGCGGGCGUACGCGCGAGUCAUAAAUAAUAAAAAUCUGCGGAACUGUAGGAGGGAAUUUCAUAAACAUAUAUAUAAAUGGAUUUGGAAUGAAAUGCUCUACAUUUUUUGUCAACACAUAAAUUUAAAUAAGUUGUAAAAUAAUGUUAUAAACAAUUUUUUUGUUAUAAACAAAUUGUAUUUUUGACAAUCUGUUAACUCCAUAUUAUUGUAUAUAAAAAACCAUUAAAUCCGCCCAUUAGAAGUCUUCACGUAUCUCUUUUGGUUUUCAAGAUAGCAGUUUCAGGUCGAAACUUUGAGGGGUGGUUUCACCCCUUAAAGUCGCGUCUCAGCAGAUAUGAAAAAAUACGUGUUCCUUAUUUUUACCUGGUUAACAAAUGUACGAAGUUUCAUCAAAAUCGGAGGGGGACACUUCGGUGCCUUUCCCCAAACUGGUUUUCCGCAAUAUUGUUCUUUUUAAUCGCUUCAAGAAGCCUCUCUUUAAUAAUACAGGGUGUCCCGUAAAGAGUGUUAGUCCUUUGAGGGGGUGGUAGCUGGGGUGAUUCUGAACAACAUUUUCCUUUGCGAAAAAGUUGUUUGAAGCUUCGUUUUUGAAUUAUUGAACAUACUGACCACACUGACCAAUUCGACCGCGUAUAGCGCGCGGGCUUAGGGACGGCAGCGUUGGCUGCGACAGCCGGGCUUGACGUAGGUCGCGUACAGAUUAUUAUAACAUGUUCAUCGUUUAUGCCCAGUGCGAGGGCAACGCGGAACUCGCGGCUCUGCGGUAUCGGGAAAAGUAUAGCACAACAGAAAAUGCACCAAGUGCUCAGUGUUUCCGGAGGCUGGUCUCCCGGGCACAUGCCACUGUCUCGCUGGUGCCUCAGCGGAAGGAGAUGGGUCGCACCACACGAACUUCUCCGCUGCAGGAAGAGGAAAUCCUGGAGCAAUUUAAUCAGGAUGGCACCCGCAGUAUACGCGAUGUCAGCCGGCGCACUAACGUAAGCCGCACAAUAGUUCACAGAAUCCUCAGAAAUCAGGCGAUGGAUUUUCCCCGGCGGAUGGAAUAUUCCCAGUGGUUGCGGGGAAAAAUCGCGCGGAAUCCAUCGUUUUGCCGGUAUGUUUUGUGGACAGACGAAGCCCUCUUCACACGGGAGGGGUGCUUUAAUGCUCACAACUCACAUCUGUGGAGGGAUGCGAAUCCUCAUGCGAUUCGUCCACGAGCAGCGCAACACCACUGGUCAAUCAAUGUAUGGGCCGGAAUUUGUGGCGAUUUUGUUGUUGGGCCGUACAUUCUGCCAAACAGAUUGGACGGCCCAACAUACAGUGUUUGUAGAAGAUGUUCUCCCGACUCUUUUGGAAGAAAUUCCACUAGAAAUUCGGUGGUACAUGUUCUUCCAACACGACGGUACGCCAACCCAUUACGCCGCAAAUGUUCGGACCCAUCUAAACCAAACUUUCAGGACAGGUGGAUUGGCCGCGGUGGUCCUGUUCCGUGGCCCCCGCGAUCACCGGAUAUGAAUCCGUUAGAUUUUUAUUUUUGGGGGUAUUUAAAGAACGAAGUAUACAGAAACCCCAUCAAUUCCCGGGAUGAAGCAAUUGCACUUAUCCACGGUGCCGUUGCAGCAAUCACUCCGGAGACACUAAGCCGAGUGCAAAGCAACAUACUCAAAAGAGUAACAACCUGUGUGGAGGCCCAAGGUGGGCGCGUGGAGUUCUUUCUCCAUUAGAAAAAUCGGCCCCUUUCGAGGCCACCAAUUUAUUUAACGUAGAUCAAUUCAUUCAUAUGAAUUGGUUCAUUAAAACAAUCGGCCCCUUUCGGGGCCACCAUUUCUUCAAACUUAAGUGUAACAACGUAAGUGAUAGUGAAAGUGCAGUGAGAGUUCAUUGCCCCGAGUUUGAAAUCAGCUGUUCUGCACACGUGUUUGUCAGUGGGAAUUAUUUGCUUUCAGCGUAGCAGGUUCAUUUAGGAACGAAUGGGUACCAGUAAUUCAACCACAUGCCACAUGUAUAAGUGAUCCGACCCCGUGUGAUCAGGUAGUAUGAAACUUUUCUUUACUUUAUCAUUCAGGUCAGUAUUAACUAACAUCAAAUCUAUUUUAGUUUCCUCACCUCUUAUACAAGUAUUUCCCCCUUCCGUAUAUACUGAUAAUAGGCUAUUGCCCGUCAUAAAUUCUAUUAAUUUUUUCCCUCUAGGGUUCCAUGUACUGCCCGACACUAGCAAUUUACUAUUAAAGUCGCCACCUAUUAGGACUCCGGACCAUUUCUUUAGCUUAAUUAAUCCUGCGACUACAUGUAACCUCUCAUCUACAGUAUCCGGAUCAAUAUUUGGGGAUAGAUAUAUACUAAUAAUUAAUAAAUUAUUAUAUUCAAUUGCUAUCAUGCCUAUACUACGCUUAACUACGUCAGUUUUCCUUCCCUUCACUAUUCCACUAUUUGUGAUCCAAAGAGCUGCAUCACCCGUUGCGUCUAUAUACCAGUAACUCUUACUCAUCUUCUUAUUUUGUUCAGUCAUAAACACAAGGUCCGGCAUUCUUUUCUCCACCGUCUUGUUUAAAAGAUCGUGCGCAACUUUGCAUCUAUUUAAAUUGAUCUGUAGUACGUUUAGCGUGAAUUUAGCCGAUUUUUACUCCGCUUAUCGCUUCUUUAUAUUGUUUAGAUCUAAGUGUGCCUGCAAUGUGAUUAAGGUCUUUUUCCAGUAAUCCCUUUGCCGCGCAUAGUAUACACCUUGUUUUUUCUGCUUUACAUUCCGACAUCGUAUGAGUUUUAUCGCCAUACCUUCUACAUAUCGCGGAAUCACCCUCUACAGCCACACAUCUUGCGGCCGCAUGCCCAAAAUUAUGGCAUUUAUAGAACCUCAUUAUAGUAGGUAACUGUCUGACCCUGCAGUAGACCCAACCUAUCUUAAUUUUAUUGUCCCUUAUUUUCAUCAGUAAGGCCGCGUUCAGACUAUGCAAUUUAGUUGUACAACUUUCCGUGCAACUUCGGGUCCGAAUUUUUGUGUUUCUGGUCGUGCCUGUACCAGGUAUGCCGCCCGAAAAAGGAAAUGAUUUUCUCUUGUAGAAAUACCAACUUCCGCAUUUUUUAUCAGAUCUUUGCGGAAGCGACGUCAAUCGAUUCCUUAUGUUUUUGCGAUCAUAAUGAACCCAAACGCGACAUAAAUUGGACAAUAAUUAACCAAGUUACGUGAAAAAUCUAAAUGCAUAGUUAAAAGCCAAUUUCGUUAAAAGUAGUCCGGUUUACGUGAUAUGGGGUAUCAUUUUAAUUGGGAGAACACCAGCAAUCCAUUAGUACCACUUUCAUACCGAUGCGGUGAAAAAUAAAGAAUUUGAUGUUUUGAAAAAUUGACACGGUCGCGACUGCACAAUUUCCGUCCCUGCAGCCAUGAGCCUCUCGGCACGGUGCCUAACACCUUCAGCUAGGACGAGACCUAACCCUAACUUAAACUUAAUCCUCCUUUUAGUCGCCUCUUACGACAGGCAGGGGUUACCGUGGCUGUAUUCUAAACCCCCCAGCCACAGAGAGGCACUCGCUUACACCUAACGCAAUCUAAACGAAAACCUGUCGUCGAGUUCCUUAUUUAACAAACUAUUUGACUAGAAACGAAGCACCGACUCGUCUCUCCGUCUAUCAGGACUCGCUUAUACAUUUUCCUUAAUCUCGUGGAUUAUUUAAUAAACAGAAGGAAGCGAUACGAUAUUUUGUUCAAGAUACCUUGUUCAUUUCGAGAGUCAGUCCUGGUUCAUUCGUUAUCGGUUGCAGUUCGAGUAUCGGGAAUGGUGCUGUGAAUUUUAUUGUUUUAUGUGUUUUUAUGAUAAUUAUCACAUAUUGGAAUGUAAAAAAUAAAAAAAAA
RNA transcript from Osmia lignaria (orchard mason bee), 5699 nucleotides. RefSeq lists it as uncharacterized. NCBI's taxonomy places the organism in Eukaryota, Metazoa, Arthropoda, Insecta, Hymenoptera, Megachilidae. The record is from RefSeq and is a predicted model, not a curated record.